UACGUAGGGUGCGAGCGUUGUCCGGAAUUACUGGGCGUAAAGAGCUCGUAGGUGGUUUGUCGCGUUGUUCGUGAAAACUCACAGCUCAACUGUGGGCGUGCGGGCGAUACGGGCAGACUGGAGUACUGCAGGGGAGACUGGAAUUCCUGGUGUAGCGGUGGAAUGCGCAGAUAUCAGGAGGAACACCGGUGGCGAAGGCGGGUCUCUGGGCCGAUACUGACGCUGAGGAGCGGAAAGCGUGGGGAGCAACAGG
RNAcentral lists this ribosomal RNA (253 nucleotides) under uncultured bacterium. RNAcentral's name for it is "partial 16S ribosomal RNA". It matches the Rfam family "Bacterial small subunit ribosomal RNA", at positions 524 to 775 of the family's 1533-position model. The record is from RNAcentral.